GACGAACGCUGGCGGCGUGCCUAAUACAUGCAAAUCGAGCGGAAUGAUGAAGAAGCUUGCUUCUUCUGAUUUUAGCGGCGGACGGUGAGUAACACGUGGGCAACCUACCUUGUAGAUUGGGAUAACUCCGGGAAACCCGGGGCUAAUACCGAAUAAUCCAUUUUGCUUCAUGGCGAGAUGUUGAAAGACGGUUUCGGCUGUCACUACAAGAUGGGCCCGCGGCGCAUUAGCUAGUUGGUAGGGUAAUGGCCUACCAAGGCGACGAUGCGUAGCCGACCUGAGAGGGUGAUCGGCCACACUGGGACUGAGACACGGCCCAGACUCCUACGGGAGGCAGCAGUAGGGAAUCUUCCACAGUGGACGAAAGUCUGAUGGAGCAACGCCGCGUGAGUGAAGAAGGUUUUCGGAACGUAAAACUCUGUUGUAAGGGAAGAACACGUACGAGAGUAACUGCUCGUACCUUGACGGUACCUUAUUAGAAAGCCACGGCUAACUACGUG
RNAcentral lists this ribosomal RNA (500 nucleotides) under uncultured bacterium. Its description in RNAcentral is "bacterial SSU rRNA". It matches the Rfam family "Bacterial small subunit ribosomal RNA", at positions 28 to 507 of the family's 1533-position model. The record is from RNAcentral.